AGGCCAAUAGCUCAACUGGUAGAGUUCCGGUCUCCAAAACCGGCGGUUGGGGGUUCGAGCCCCUCUUGGCCUG
This 73-nucleotide transfer RNA is filed under the name Deferribacteraceae bacterium. RNAcentral describes it as "tRNA-Trp". It matches the Rfam family "tRNA". Rfam says of the family: Transfer RNA (tRNA) molecules are approximately 80 nucleotides in length. Lineage: Bacteria; Pseudomonadati; Deferribacterota; Deferribacteres; Deferribacterales; Deferribacteraceae. The record is from RNAcentral.